RNAcentral lists this ribosomal RNA (100 nucleotides) under uncultured bacterium. RNAcentral's name for it is "partial 16S ribosomal RNA". The record is from RNAcentral.
AGAUCCUCGUUAAGGGUUUAAAUUGUACCCAUUCCGAUGACAGACCUCAUAGAGAACUGUCUCGUUAUUUUUCGUCACUACCUCCUCGUUCUGAGAGUGG